UGGGGAAUAUUGCACAAUGGACGAAAGUCUGAUGCAGCGACGCCGCGUGAGGGAAGAAGGUAUUCGUAUUGUAAACCUCUGUCUUCGGGGACGAUAAUGACGGUACCCGAGGAGGAAGCACCGGCUAACUACGUGCCAGCAGCCGCGGUAAAACGUAGGGUGCGAGCGUUGUCCGGAAUUACUGGGUGUAAAGGGAGCGCAGGUGGAAAGGUAAGUUGAAUGUGAAAUCUAUGGGCUCAACCCAUAAAUUGCGUUCAAAACUAUUUUUCUUGAGUGGAGUAGAGGUAAGUGGAAUUCCAGGUGUAGCGGUGGAAUGCGUAGAUAUCUGGAGGAACACCAGUGGCGAAGGCGGCUUACUGGGCUCUAACUGACGCUGAGGCUCGAAAGCAUGGGUAGCAAACA
The sequence is a ribosomal RNA, 402 nucleotides long. It matches the Rfam family "Bacterial small subunit ribosomal RNA", at positions 355 to 774 of the family's 1533-position model.